GAUGAACGCUGGCGGCGUGCUUAACACAUGCAAGUCGAACGGUGAAGGCGGAGCUUGCUCUGCUGGAUCAGUGGCGAACGGGUGAGUAACACGUGUGCAAUCUGCCCCUGACUCUGGGAUAAGCGCUGGAAGCGGCGGCUAAUACUGGAUACGAGCUGCGAAGGCAUCUUCAGCAGCUGGAAAGAAUUUCGGUCAGGGAUGAGCUCGCGGCCUAUCAGCUUGUUGGUGAGGUAAUGGCUCACCAAGGCGUCGACGGGUAGCCGGCCUGAGAGGGUGACCGGCCACACUGGGACUGAGACACGGCCCAGACUCCUACGGGAGGCAGCAGUGGGGAAUAUUGCACAAUGGGCGAAAGCCUGAUGCAGCAACGCCGCGUGAGGGACGACGGCCUUCGGGUUGUAAACCUCUUUUAGCAGGGAAGAAGCGAAAGUGACGGUACCUGCAGAAAAAGCGCCGGCUAACUACGUG
This 468-nucleotide ribosomal RNA is filed under the name uncultured bacterium. Its description in RNAcentral is "partial 16S ribosomal RNA". It matches the Rfam family "Bacterial small subunit ribosomal RNA", at positions 28 to 507 of the family's 1533-position model. The record is from RNAcentral.